This 604-nucleotide long non-coding RNA is filed under the name Gouania willdenowi (blunt-snouted clingfish). Its description in RNAcentral is "lncRNA (ENSGWIG00000019883.1)". Lineage: Eukaryota; Metazoa; Chordata; Actinopteri; Blenniiformes; Gobiesocidae. The record is from RNAcentral.
AUGCGGACCUGUUGGGGCCGUGGAGGAGGUCUGUCUCUCCGUUCAGGGAUCCUCCUUCUGUUAGUGCCGCCGCUUCUUCUCGCGCUGCAGCAGCUCGUGCUGGUCGGGUCCCGGUUACCGGGGCCUGAGGCUCGGGGUCCGGGCGGAGAUCCAGCUUUUACCGUCAUCAGCAUUGAACCGGUGGAGAAGUCCCGCCUGUGGGGGAACAGGGCCCUGCGCUUUGGCUUACAGGCGGAGGAGGAUGAGGAGGAGAGGAGGAAGGAUGGAGAGAGGAAGCAGAGAGGAGGUCUUUACCAGGAUGAGACUGAGCUGAGACAGAAGGAACCCAGGGUCUUGAAGGUGCAGCCGUGGGCAACCGACAAGCCAUCCUUUACAGCAGAACUCACUCGUCUCAUCACAUAUAUCACAACAGCACAGCUGAAUUGCUCCAGAGUGUUUACACCAGGGCAGGCUCAGGCUGAACAGCACCCUGCUGCUGCUGCUGCAGAGCACUGGCUGCUGUGUGCUGAGGACCCUAUGCCUCCAGCUGAGGAAGGGCCCUGUGUUGCAUAUUCCUUCAGGUGCAUGUGCCCACGCUGUCAUCAUAGUCACGGUUUCACUAACA